RNA transcript from Panicum virgatum (switchgrass), 1570 nucleotides. RefSeq lists it as uncharacterized. The record is from RefSeq and is a predicted model, not a curated record. The transcript has 7 exons. Lineage: Eukaryota; Viridiplantae; Streptophyta; Magnoliopsida; Poales; Poaceae.
UGGGCCGCAAACCCCUCCACCACACCGUCGCCAUGCAGCGGGUCUCGCAGCUCACGCUCCGACGCCUCCUGUCGCCGCCGUCCGCCGCCGCGGCCGCUCGCCGGGCUGCGCCGGUCACUGCGGAGGCUGUUUCCGGCGGAGGAUCAAUCCUGCUGCCCCGAGUUGGUGGCGCCGGAGUAGCAGCGAGCGAGUGGAGUGGCGGCGGCCAGGGGCUCUGGUUGGCUCGGAGGCUCUGCACCUACGACGAGAGAGAUGACAGGGCGCUCGAGGAAGAAGCUGAGAAGAAGUUUGGAUGGAUAUUGAAGAUAUUUUUCCUAGGAACUGCUGGCCUAGUUGGCUACCAAUUCUUUCCAUAUAUGGGGGAUAACCUACUUCAGCAAUCUAUUUCACUUUUGCGUGUUAAGGAUCCCUUGUUCAAGCGGAUGGGAGCUUCCCGGUUAACUCGUUUUGCAGUGGAUGACCAAAGAAGAAUGAAGGUGGUUGAGAUGGGGGGAGCUCAGGAACUUCUUAAUGUAUUGGAAGGUGCUAAAGAUGAUAAAACACGUAAAGAAGCUCUAAAAACUCUUGUUGCACUUUCUAAAUCCGCUUUUGCACAAAAGGAGAUCCCAUUGACAAACUUCCCACUGUUUCUCUCUUCAUCUAGGUCAAUCUGUAAUGAUUCCAAGUUCUAUUUUGAUUGUUGAAGUUUUGAAAGUUUAUUAGAUUUUACACACCCAAAAGAAGGCACAACUCAGGUUGCCAAGAAUAUUGGAAUUUAUCAACUUUGGUGAUUUGGUCCAACUCUCAUGAGUCAUGGCUCUAGGAGCGUUUGUGUCAUGUUGCUGAAUUGCCAUUGUUUUGUGUUACCUAACAUUUAACACUUGCUGUAUGCCCGUUCUGUGAUCAUGAUUUCUUGCAUUUGCUCUUUGUUCCUUUUUUUUUCCUUUUGAUGAUGUGGUAGGAGCUCUGCUAUUCAUUGAUAGAAGAAAAAGUUUUACAAGAAAACAAAAAUUGGGAACAUCAAAAGAUCCCAUCAAGAACACAACAGAGAAACCCAAAACAGUUCACAACUUUAGGAAGAAACCAUCAUCCCAUGGUAGUGCAAUUAACUUAGGCCUCUUUUGGAUCACUGCCCUGCCAAUUUUUUGGCACUGACCACAGCAUUGACCAUUUGUAUGGAAGCUAAUAAUUGGAGAGCCAAAACUUGCAUCACACUGCCCCAUUGGUUUUCUCACCAGCGGCUGGCCGAACUCAGGGUGGCAGAAUCCUUCGUAAAAAAAAUGGUGAGCCAGUGAAUUUGCGUGGCGAGCUGGGGUCAUAUCCAGCUUCAUUUGCAGGGCACCCAUGUUGACAAAAAAAAAUCCUCUGAAGCUAUGUUAAAAAUGGCAUUUGCUUGAACAGAGUUUGUUUGGAAGGUCCAGCUCUUCUGUUUCUUCCAAAGGUUCCAACAAACAUAAGAAGCUGCAGGAUUUUUGGACAUGGCAGGUGCCUAUGCAAUAGUCAGCUCCACUCCCAACUCCUCAGUAUACGCUGAGAUCGAGACGUACAAGACUAGUUUUCUGACGGCCUUAGAUAAACUGAAGUCAUGACG